RNAcentral lists this ribosomal RNA (301 nucleotides) under uncultured bacterium. RNAcentral's name for it is "partial 16S ribosomal RNA". It matches the Rfam family "Bacterial small subunit ribosomal RNA", at positions 509 to 808 of the family's 1533-position model. The record is from RNAcentral.
CAGCAGCCACGGUAAUACGUAGGUCCCGAGCGUUGUCCGGAUUUAUUGGGCGUAGAGCGAGCGCAGGCGGUUAGAUAAGUCUGAAGUUAAAGGCUGUGGCUUAACCAUAGUAUGCUUUGGAAACUGUUUAACUUGAGUGCAGAAGGGGAGAGUGGAAUUCCAUGUGUAGCGGUGAAAUGCGUAGAUAUAUGGAGGAACACCGGUGGCGAAAGCGGCUCUCUGGUCUGUAACUGACGCUGAGGCUCGAAAGCGUGGGGAGCAAACAGGAUUAGAUACCCCCGUAGUCCCUGUCUCUUAUACA